AUGUACUUGGUAAGCUGAAGUUACUUCUUAUGCCUAUAUUAAUAUGGUCAUCAGUACGUUUGUGAUGUUCUAAUUAGUGCUUUUAGUAGCAUUCGAGAAAAUUCAUGUCAUAAUUUUUGUAAAUCUGGUGAAUUGUGUGGCUCACCUCGAGGAAGCAUGGGCUUCACUAUUCUCUUUUUGCUUAAAAGCUACAUGGUCCUUG
Molecule: unclassified non-coding RNA, 202 nt
Filed under: Hevea brasiliensis (rubber tree)
Lineage: Eukaryota; Viridiplantae; Streptophyta; Magnoliopsida; Malpighiales; Euphorbiaceae
Source: RNAcentral